AGAGCGAACGCUGGCGGCAGGCCUAACACAUGCAAGUCGAGCGCCCGUAGCAAUACGGGAGCGGCAGACGGGAUAGUAACACGUGGGAACGCGCCCUUCGGUUCGGAAUAACUCAGGGAAACUUGAGCUAAUACCGAAUACGCCCUUACGGGGAAAGAUUUAUUGCCGAAGGAACGGCCCGCGUCCGAUUAGCUAGUUGGUGAGGUAAUGGCUCACCAAGGCUACGAUCGGUAGCUGGUCUGAGAGGAUGACCAGCAUCACUGGGACUGAGACACGGCCCAGACUCCUACGGGAGGCAGCAGUGGGGAAUAUUGGACAAUGGGCGAAAGCCUGAUCCAGCCAUGCCGCGUGGAUGAUGAAGGCCUUAGGGUUGUAAAGUCCUUUUAACGGGGAAGAUAAUGACGGUACCGUAGAAUAAGCCCGGCUAACUUCGCGCCAGCAGCCGC
RNAcentral lists this ribosomal RNA (446 nucleotides) under uncultured bacterium. Its description in RNAcentral is "SSU rRNA". It matches the Rfam family "Bacterial small subunit ribosomal RNA", at positions 26 to 518 of the family's 1533-position model. The record is from RNAcentral.